AUGCUCCCUUUGGCAGCACAUGUACUAAAAUUGGAAUGACACAGAGAAGAUUAGCAUGGCCCCUACACAAGGAUGACACGCAAAUUCAUGAAGCAUUCUGUAUAUUU
Balaenoptera ricei (Rice's whale) is the source of this 107-nucleotide small nuclear RNA. Lineage: Eukaryota; Metazoa; Chordata; Mammalia; Artiodactyla; Balaenopteridae. The record is from RefSeq and is a predicted model, not a curated record.